This 468-nucleotide ribosomal RNA is filed under the name uncultured bacterium. Its description in RNAcentral is "partial 16S ribosomal RNA". It matches the Rfam family "Bacterial small subunit ribosomal RNA", at positions 28 to 507 of the family's 1533-position model. The record is from RNAcentral.
GACGAACGCUGGCGGCGUGCUUAACACAUGCAAGUCGAACGGAAAGGCCCUGCUUUUGUGGGGUGCUCGAGUGGCGAACGGUUGAGUAACACGUGAGUAACCUGCCCUUGACUUUGGGAUAACUUCAGGAAACUGGGGCUAAUACCGGAUAGGAGCUCCUGCUGCAUGGUGGGGGUUGGAAAGUUUCGGCGGUUGGGGAUGGACUCGCGGCUUAUCAGCUUGUUGGUGGGGUAGUGGCUUACCAAGGCUUUGACGGGUAGCCGGCCUGAGAGGGUGACCGGCCACAUUGGGACUGAGAUACGGCCAAGACUCCUACGGGAGGAAGCAGUGGGGAAUAGUGCACAAUGGGCGGAAGCCUGAUGCAGCAACGCCGCGUGCGGGAUGACGGCCUUCGGGUUGUAAACCGCUUUCGCCUGUGACGAAGCGUGAGUGACGGUAAUGGGUAAAGAAGCACCGGCUAACUACGUG